This is a small nucleolar RNA of Grammomys surdaster, 128 nucleotides long. RefSeq annotates it as small nucleolar RNA SNORA17. The transcript has a single exon. Lineage: Eukaryota; Metazoa; Chordata; Mammalia; Rodentia; Muridae. The record is from RefSeq and is a predicted model, not a curated record.
UCUGUUCUUAGAGACAUUGCAGGCAGCAGUACCACAUGUGAACCAAUAUGUCACAGUGAGGAGAGAAGCUAUGUCUAUGCUCAGUGUUAUGACCCAUGACUAUUUGAAUGAUAAGUAGCCUAAGCAAG